Molecule: ribosomal RNA, 468 nt
Filed under: uncultured bacterium
Lineage: Bacteria
Description: partial 16S ribosomal RNA
Rfam family: Bacterial small subunit ribosomal RNA
Source: RNAcentral
GACGAACGCUGGCGGCGUGCUUAACACAUGCAAGUCGAACGGAAAGGCCCUGCUUUUGUGGGGUGCUCGAGUGGCGAACGGGUGAGUAACACGUGAGUAACCUGCCCUUGACUUUGGGAUAACUUCAGGAAACUGGGGCUAAUACCGGAUAGGAGCUCCUGCUGCAUGGUGGGGGUUGGAAAGUUUCGGCGGUUGGGGAUGGACUCGCGGCUUAUCAGCUUGUUGGUGGGGCAGUGGCUUACCAAGGCUUUGACGGGUAGCCGGCCUGAGAGGGUGACCGGCCACAUUGGGACUGAGAUACGGCCCAGACUGCUACGGGAGGCAGCAGUGGGGAAUAUUGCACAAUGGGCGGAAGCCUGAUGCAGCAACGCCGCGUGCGGGAUGACGGCCUUCGGGUUGUAAACCGCUUUCGCCUGUGACGAAGCGUGAGUGACGGUAAUGGGUAAAGAAGCACCGGCUAACUACGUG